CAGCAGCCGCGGGAAUACGUAGGGUGCAAGCGUUAAUCGGAAUUACUGGGCAUAAAGCGUGCGCAGGCGGUUAUAUAAAUCAGAUGUGAAAUCCCCGGGCUCAACCUGGGAACUGCAUUUGAGACUGUAUGGCUAGAGUGUGUCAGAGGGGGGUAGAAUUCCACGUGUAGCAGUGAAAUGCGUAGAUAUGUGGAGGAAUACCGAUGGCGAAGGCAGCCCCCUGGGAUAACACUGACGCUCAUGCACGAAAGCGUGGGGAGCAAACAGGAUUAGAUACCCCUGUAGUCCCUGUCUCUUAUAC
This 301-nucleotide ribosomal RNA is filed under the name uncultured bacterium. Its description in RNAcentral is "partial 16S ribosomal RNA". It matches the Rfam family "Bacterial small subunit ribosomal RNA", at positions 509 to 807 of the family's 1533-position model. The record is from RNAcentral.